Molecule: long non-coding RNA, 976 nt
Organism: Anguilla rostrata (American eel)
Lineage: Eukaryota; Metazoa; Chordata; Actinopteri; Anguilliformes; Anguillidae
Exons: 3
Source: RefSeq, a predicted model, not a curated record
GAAAAGCCCAAGAAGGCUGGCGAGAAGAGGAAGAUGGGGUGUGAAGAGCAGGCAGUGGUGCAGGGAAAGAACCUGGGUCCCUACAGCGGGACCAGACCUGCAAAGUGCCCACGGAAAGAUUUGCAGGAUAUGGGCCAGAUGAUGCACUACUCUGCCUCGAUGCCUCGGGCCUCCAGGACCAUGAACCCAAUGUCCUCCUGGGGUGGAUAAUAUAACGUUGAGGCAGACUGGCACAAACAGAAACUAAGCAGCUCGGUCACUUUUCAUCGCUGUUUAACUUUCGGUUUGGCACCAACACAUGGAUACAUCACAGUCUGCUUGAACCCCAUAUUAUCCUCCACCUUCCCAGCCUGCCUUAACCCUGUUUUAGCCCCGCCCCACCUCAGAUGCAGUAAGUGCCAAAGUGCAUGGUGUGCUCCACUGCAGUCUGCAGCCACAUACACAAGCCACCAUGCGGCAGGAAAGCUUGUGGACUGCACGUUUGUAAGCUUUGUUGCAGUGCAUAUUGUACAUUUAAAACAUUCAGAAUAAUUAUCCAAGGGACAUACAAUUAAAAUGACAAUAAGAAGUCAAAUAAAACCUGGGGAAGUUUGGUGACGCUCCCUCAGGCAAGAUUUGUGGUGCUUCUUGCAGCAGCAGUUCUGACUUCCUGCUUUUCCAGGUGGAUGAAGUUUCUGUGCUGCAGUCCCAUCAAGCCAGGGAGGCUGUGCAGGAAACUGACCAGCGGAGGAAAGCCCCAGUGCAGCCGGGUCCAGAGAGUUCUAAGCCCAGGCCUAGUUAAAUCAAAGACAAUGAGUUCCAUUAGUGCUUAUGACCAGCACGGCAGAGCAGUGUGAAGGAAGAGCACUUCCAGCACCCCAUCCUUCUGUACAAGAGAAAAUCUCAUGUGACUUCUUAAUAUAGAACUGAUUCAGUCCAAUAAAAAAACAAUAAAAAAAGAAAUUAGAAUAGUUAUUAAUUUUUGGUUGGUGUACUA